This 467-nucleotide ribosomal RNA is filed under the name uncultured bacterium. RNAcentral describes it as "partial 16S ribosomal RNA". It matches the Rfam family "Bacterial small subunit ribosomal RNA", at positions 28 to 507 of the family's 1533-position model. The record is from RNAcentral.
GACGAACGCUGGCGGCGUGCUUAACACAUGCAAGUCGAACGAUGACGACCGAGCUUGCUCGGUCUGAUUAGUGGCGAACGGGUGAGUAACACGUGAGCAACCUGCCCUUCACUCUGGGAUAACCUCGGGAAAUCGGGGCUAAUACCGGAUAUGAGCUCCUGUCGCAUGGUGGGUGUUGGAAAGUUUUUCGGUGAAGGAUGGGCUCGCGGCCUAUCAGUUUGUUGGUGGGGUAGUGGCUCACCAAGGCGAUGACGGGUAGCCGGCCUGAGAGGGCGACCGGCCACACUGGGACUGAGACACGGCCCAGACUCCUACGGGAGGCAGCAGUGGGGAAUAUUGCACAAUGGGCGGAAGCCUGAUGCAGCGACGCCGCGUGAGGGAUGACGGCCUUCGGGUUGUAAACCUCUUUCGGCAGGGAAGAAGCGAAAGUGACGGUACCUGCAGAAGAAGCGCCGGCUAACUACGUG